RNAcentral lists this ribosomal RNA (463 nucleotides) under uncultured bacterium. RNAcentral's name for it is "partial 16S ribosomal RNA". It matches the Rfam family "Bacterial small subunit ribosomal RNA", at positions 28 to 507 of the family's 1533-position model. The record is from RNAcentral.
GACGAACGCUGGCGGCGUGCUUAACACAUGCAAGUCGAGCGGUAAGGCCCUUCGGGGUACCCGAGCGGCGAACGGGUGAGUAACACGUGAGUAAUCUGCCCAUCACUUCGGGAUAACUCCGGGAAACCGGUGCUAAUACCGAAUAUGACCACUUCAGGCAUCUGAUGGUGGUGGAAAGUUCCGGCGGUGAUGGAUGAGCUCGCGGCCUAUCAGCUUGUUGGUGGGGUAGUGGCCUACCAAGGCUUCGACGGGUAGCCGGCCUGAGAGGGUGACCGGCCACACUGGGACUGAGACACGGCCCAGACUCCUACGGGAGGCAGCAGUGGGGAAUAUUGGACAAUGGGCGAAAGCCUGAUCCAGCAACGCCGCGUGAGGGAUGACGGCCUUCGGGUUGUAAACCUCUUUCAGCAGGGACGAAGCGCAAGUGACGGUACCUGCAGAAGAAGCACUGGCCAACUACGUG